GAGUUUGAUCAUGGCUCACAGUGAACGCUGGCGGCGUGCUUAACACAUGCAAGUCGAACGGAACCUUCGGGUUUAGUGGCGCACGGCUGAGUAACGUAUAGCUAACAUGCCCUUUACAGGGGGAUAACAGUUGGAAACGACUGCUAAUACCCCAUACUCCUUCUCAUUAUAAGAUGAGUCGGGAAAGUUUUUUCGCUAAAGGAUUGGGCUAUAUGGUAUCAGCUUGUUGGUGAGGUAACGGUUCACCAAGGCUAUGACCCCUAACUGGUCUGAGAGGAUGAUCAGUCACACUGGAACUGAUACACCGGUCCAGACUCCUACUGGAGGUAGCAGUGGGGAAUAUUACACAAUGGAGGAAACUCUGAUGCACCAACGCCGCGUGGAGGAUGACAUCAUUUCGGUGCGUACACUCCUUUUAUAUGGGAAGAUAAUGACGGUACCAUAUGAAUAAGCACCGGCUAACUCCGUGCCAUCAGCCGCGGUAAUACGGAGGGUGGAAGCGUUUACUCGGAAUCUCUGGGCGUAAAGCGCAUGUAUGCCGUCUUGUACGUUGGGUGUGAAAGUCCUAUGGCUCAACCAUAGAACUGCACUCAAUACUAUUAGACUAGAUUCUGGGCGAGGAAAACGCGAAUUAUUUGUGUAUCGCUAAAAUCCGUAUAGAUCACUAGGACUACCCAAAUGCGAACGUAAUUUUCUGGGACAGUACUUGCGCUCACAUGCCACAGCGUGGG
RNAcentral lists this ribosomal RNA (731 nucleotides) under uncultured Campylobacterota bacterium. RNAcentral describes it as "bacterial SSU rRNA". It matches the Rfam family "Bacterial small subunit ribosomal RNA", at positions 9 to 765 of the family's 1533-position model. The record is from RNAcentral. Lineage: Bacteria; Pseudomonadati; Campylobacterota.